GAUGAACGCUGGCGGCGUGCCUAAUACAUGCAAGUCGAGCGAACAGACGAGGAGCUUGCUCCUCUGACGUUAGCGGCGGACGGGUGAGUAACACGUGGAUAACCUACCUAUACGACUGGGAUAACUUCGGGAAACCGGAGCUAAUACCGGAUAAUAUAUUGAACCGCAUGGUUCAAUAGUGAAAGACGGUUUUGCUUUCACUUAUAGAUGGAUCCGCGCCGCAUUAGCUAGUUGGUAAGGUAACGGCUUACCAAGGCAACGAUGCGUAGCCGACCUGAGAGGGUGAUCGGCCACACUGGAACUGAGACACGGUCCAGACUCCUACGGGAGGCAGCAGUAGGGAAUCUUCCGCAAUGGGCGAAAGCCUGACGGAGCAACGCCGCGUGAGUGAUGAAGGUCUUCGGAUCGUAAAACUCUGUUAUUAGGGAAGAACAAAUGUGUAAGUAACUAUGCACGUCUUGACGGUACCUAAGCAGAAAGCCACGGCUAACUACGU
This 496-nucleotide ribosomal RNA is filed under the name uncultured bacterium. RNAcentral's name for it is "partial 16S ribosomal RNA". It matches the Rfam family "Bacterial small subunit ribosomal RNA", at positions 28 to 506 of the family's 1533-position model. The record is from RNAcentral.